Molecule: long non-coding RNA, 503 nt
Filed under: Phoenix dactylifera (date palm)
Lineage: Eukaryota; Viridiplantae; Streptophyta; Magnoliopsida; Arecales; Arecaceae
Description: long non-coding RNA (PDAC_LNC017423)
Source: RNAcentral
GUUGCACGCAAUGGUCAACUAUGUCCGCUCAACUAUACGAAGUAGAAUGAAAUGCUUCCUUUAUAUAAAGUUGAGUUUUUUAGACUUAUACAGGUAAUGAAUUGAAUUUGUUCUUGUUAAUUUGAUAUCUUCUAUAUGUUAAUUUGCUUACUAUCAUAAAUUUAAUUUUUGAUUUAAUAUUAUUAUAAUAUUCUGUAUCUUGGUGUAGAGUAAGUUUGUACUCCCCCCAGAGAGCCAUGAUUGGGUGCUAAAGUUCCUCAACCGCAAAUGAUAUAUAUACUACGUACGCACCAUUAUGCAGAGGAAAAAAUAAUGCACUUACAUUGAGAUGUCAACAUAUCUUUUGCAUGAAGCACUGCCAGCAGUGCUAAUUAAAGAUGAAUAGGCAUCUUGAGCAGUAAAUUGGGCAAAAACAUCACAAAGUUUGGAAAAUUGAUAGUAAAGAACACAUGAUAGCACUAAGAAGCAAUUUCCUCACCAUGUUACAUGAUAAACAUAUAAGG